Molecule: ribosomal RNA, 253 nt
Filed under: uncultured bacterium
Lineage: Bacteria
Description: partial 16S ribosomal RNA
Rfam family: Bacterial small subunit ribosomal RNA
Source: RNAcentral
UACGGGGGGGGUAAGCGUUGUUCGGAAUUACUGGGCGUAAAGGGCUCGUAGGCGGCCAACUAAGUCAUACGUGAAAUCCCUCAGCUUAACUGGGGAACUGCGUGUGAUACUGGAUGGCUUGGAUUUGGGAGAGGGAUGCGGAAUUCCAGGUGUAGCGGUGAAAUGCGCAGAUAUCAGGAGGAACACCGGUGGCGAAGGCGGGUCUCUGGGCCGGUACUGACGCUGAGGCACGAAAGCGUGGGGAGCAAACAGG